Long non-coding RNA from Hippocampus zosterae (dwarf seahorse), 684 nucleotides. RefSeq lists it as uncharacterized. The transcript is spliced from 3 exons. NCBI's taxonomy places the organism in Eukaryota, Metazoa, Chordata, Actinopteri, Syngnathiformes, Syngnathidae. The record is from RefSeq and is a predicted model, not a curated record.
AGCAAAUCUGUACCCGGCUGGCACAGUGUGUCAUCAUGCUCGAACGCCGCCGCUGCUGCUGCUGCUACUGAUGUCCACUUGAUGACUCUGCCCCGCCCAUGUUGGCCUCAUCAACGAUGUACAAACAAGAAGAGAUAGGCAACUCACCAAAAGCCCUCAGUUGUCAUGGAACCAAGGCUGGAGAACAAAAGAUGGACGCGGCUAUGGCGGAGCGCAAUGGGGGUUGAUGGAAACAUGGGAGGGGAGCAGGAAAUUGCAAGAAAACAGGAUUAAGGUCAUUUUUCAUCCAUUAUCUAAAAGCAAUCCACAACAUAUGCUUCUGUGGUUGCUACCUGCCUGGACUUUAGAGCAUUUGCAUUGUGCUACAUUCGUGACGGAUGACACACAAACGCACCGCCCAUGUUUCUGCAGCUGAGCCCCUCACAUUACCUCACAUUACUUUCGUGUGGCUAAAUAACACUCGUCGCGCUUAUUGACUGGUUGCUUGCAUUUAUAUCCAACCUUUCGCAUGAGGAGAGUCCAAUGUCACACAUGAGAACGGGCAGCAGAAAAAGCAUCAUUACCGGGUCCACGUUUAAUCCGUUCCGCGGCCACGCGCUUACCUCAAAAUGCUCAAAUCAUCUUUCCCCAUUGAAAUGAAAGUAAAUGCCUUUAAUCUGUUCCAUUCUCCCAAAACAACAACAA